Molecule: microRNA precursor, 140 nt
Filed under: Pelobates cultripes (western spadefoot toad)
Lineage: Eukaryota; Metazoa; Chordata; Amphibia; Anura; Pelobatidae
Source: RNAcentral
GCAAAUCAGCAGCAGGCCCUCCCUCCCAGACCCUCCCACCUCCUGGACAGCUCACUAAGAAUGCAGCUUCACAAUGAAUGUAAAAUAGAUGCUGUCCAGGAGGUGGGAGGGUCUGGGAGGGAGGGUCUGCUGCUGAUUGG